CUAUUGAAUCAUUCCCAUGGUGAAUGACUAGCUACACUAUGAAACCACACACUACUGAAUCAUUCCCAUGGUGAAUGACUAGCUACACUAUGAAACCACACACUAUUGAAUCAUUCCCAUGGUGAAUGACUAGCUACACUAUUGAAUCAUUCCCAUGGUGAAUGACUAGCUACACUAUGAAACUACACACUAUUGGAACAUUCCCAUGGUGAAUCACUAGCUACACUAUGAAACCACACACUAUUGAAUCAUUCCCAUGGUGAAUGACUAGCUACACUAUGAAACUACACACUAUUGGAACAUUCCCAUGGUGAAUCACUAGCUACACUAUUGAAUCAUUCCCAUGGUGAAUGACUAGCUACACUAUGAAACCACACACUACUGAAUCAUUCCCAUGGUGAAUGACUAGCUACACUAUGAAACUACACUAUUGAAUCACUCCCAUGGUGAAUGACUAGCUACACUAUGAAACCACACUAUUGAAUCAUUCCCAUGGUGAAUCACUAGCUACACUAUGAAACCACACACUAUUGAAUCACUCCCAUGGUGAAUGACUAGCUACACUAUGAAACUACACUAUUGAAUCAUUCCCAUGGUGAAUCACUAGCUACACUAUGAAACCACACACUAUUGAAUCAUUCCCAUGGUGAAUGACUAGCUACACUAUGAAACUACACACUAUUGGAACAUUCCCAUGGUGAAUCACUAGCUACACUAUUGAAUCAUUCCCAUGGUGAAUGACUAGCUACACUAUGAAACCACACACUAUUGAAUCAUUCCCAUGGUGAAUGACUAGCUACACUAUGAAACUACACUAUUGAAUCAUUCCCAUGGUGAAUGACUAGCUACACUAUUGAAUCAUUCCCAUGGUGAAUGACUAGCUACACUAUUGAAUCAUUCCCAUGGUGAAUGACUAGCUACACUAUGAAACCACACACUAUUGAAUCAUUCCCAUGCUGAAUAACUAGCUACACUAUGAAACCACACACUAUUGAAUCAUUCCCAUGGUGAAUGACUAGCUACACUAUGAAACCACACACUAUUGAAUCAUUCCCAUGCUGAAUGACUAGCUACACUAUUGAAUCAUUCCCAUGGUGAAUGACUAGCUACACUAUGAAACCACACACUAUUGAAUCAUUCCCAUGGUGAAUGUCUAGCUACACUAUGAAACCACACACUACUGAAUCAUUCCCAUGGUGAAUGACUAGCUACACUAUGAAACCACACACUAUUGAAUCAUUCCCAUGGUGAAUGUCUAGCUACACUAUGAAACUACACACUAUUGAAUCAUUCCCAUGGUGAAUGUCUAGCUACACUAUGAAACUACACACUAUUGCAGAUAUGGUGAAAGCAAUGUGUGGUGAGGUAGAGGCACAGAAACUCACAUCAAUACCUUUGUCAGAUAACACUGUUAAACAAACAAUGUACGCUAUAGCUAGAGAGGAAACUGACCGACUCAGACUCCCCAGCUUAUGCUCUGAGAUAUACCGCAGCAGGUAACUUGCAUUGUAAACUUCACCUAACAAAAAUAAACCUGUAAAGUGUCCCAUUUUUCAUGAGCUGAAAUAAAAUAUCCCAGAAAUGUUCCAUACGCACAAAAAGCUGAUUUCUCAAAAAUGUUGUGCUCACAUUUGUUGACAUCUCUGUUAGUGAGCAUCUCUCCUUCACCAAGAUAAUCCAUCCACCUGGACAGGUGUGGCAUAUCAAGAAGCUGAUUAAACAGCAUGAGCAUUACGCAGGUGCACCUUGUGCUGGGGGACAAUAAAAUGCCACUAAAAAUGUGCAGUUUUAUCUAGGGCUGGGCGAUAAGACCAAAAUAUCAUAUCAUAUUUAUAGUAUUUAUUUUUAUUUUUUUAUUUGAAAUUUUUACAGUAUUUUAUGUUUUUGAUUAAUAAAAGUUCUACAUGUGCUUUAUGAGCAGUGACCUUGGGGUGGCAACACAUACAUUCUAAAUGAUUUCAAUGAGUCUUUCUCCAUUCUGAUUGGUUUAUACCGCUCAAUUCAACUUCAACCUAAAAUAAUUUUCUGCAUUUCCUGCACUCAUUUGAGAUCAUUUCCACAGCAUAGUAGUUAGAGUGUUGGGCCAGUAACCGAAAGGUUGCUAGAUCGAAUCCCCAUGCUGAUAAGGUAAAAAUCUGUUGUUCUGCCCCUGAACAAAAUAAAAAAUAAAAAUCUUUGUUGACUUUCUGUGUGAUGAAAAGAAAAUGUGUCUCCUUGCCUGUAACAGACAUAUUUGGGAACCUGAACCCAAGCAUGCAGGGGGGAAUACAAAAACAUUCUACAGAUUAGUGACCCGAUCAGUCGAUUCAGAGGAAGUCAUUAUUAUUGGAGAGAGUCUUUCAAAAGAGAACCGUGCCCCCCUUCCCUCCACUGUGCCUGUUUCUAUCAGCAAACAGCAUCAGGAAGUGUCCCACACCAGUGAUGACUGCUCACCUCCAACGCGUGGAAGAGCACCUACUUCCCAAUCCGUUUGACUCUGGCUCAGUUGACAUGCCGGUAAAUCAAACAGCUUGUUGUAGAGGCAAAGCGGGGUUCGACACAGUACUAGAUGGGUGUACCUAAUAAACUGGCCAUUGAGUAUCUAGGUAGUAGUACAAUGAACAAAACAGCAAUGUCAGUAACCUCAGGCCAAAAGACCAGUUAGGUACUGCACUUCUAAAUUCUCUAUGUAUAGCUAAAUGACUCAGGCCAAAAGACCAGUUAGGUACUGCACUUCUAAAUUCUCUAUGUAUAGCUAAAUGACUCAGGCCAAAAGACCAGUUAGGUACUGCACUUCUAAAUUCUCUAUGUAUAGCUAAAUGACUCAGGCCAAAAGACCAGUUAGGUACUGCACUUCUAAAUGCUCUAUGUAUAGCUAAAUGACUCAUAACAAAAGACCAGUUAGGUACUGCACUUCUAAAUGCUCUAUGUAUAGCUAAAUGACUCAUGCCAAGAGACCAGUUAGGUACUGCACUUCUAAAUUCUCUAUGUAUAGCUAAAUGACUCAGGCCAAAAGACCAGUUAGGUACUGCACUUCUAAAUGCUCUAUGUAUAGCUAAAUGACUCAGGCCAAGAGACCAGUUAGGUACUGCACUUCUAAAUUCUCUAUGUAUAGCUAAAUGACUCAUAACAAAAGACCAGUUAGGUACUGCACUUCUAAAUGCUCUAUGUAUAGCUAAAUGACUCAGGCCAAAAGACCAGUUAGGUACUGCACUUCUAAAUUCUCUAUGUAUAGCGAAAUGACUCAUAACAAAAGACCAUAGUAAUGGAAUCCCCAGGGAGAGGAACACCAGACAGGUGGGUUAAUAUAGGAAUCCCCAGGGAGAUUAGACCAGAGA
Molecule: long non-coding RNA, 3317 nt
Organism: Oncorhynchus keta (chum salmon)
Lineage: Eukaryota; Metazoa; Chordata; Actinopteri; Salmoniformes; Salmonidae
Exons: 3
Source: RefSeq, a predicted model, not a curated record